Molecule: ribosomal RNA, 372 nt
Filed under: uncultured organism
Description: partial 16S ribosomal RNA
Rfam family: Bacterial small subunit ribosomal RNA
Source: RNAcentral
GUAGGUGGCAAGCGUUGUCCGGAAUUAUUGGGCGUAAAGCGCGCGCAGGGCGGUUCUUUAAGUCUGAUGUGAAAGCCCACGGCUCAACCGUGGAGGGUCAUUGGAAACUGGAGAACUUGAGUACAGAAGAGGAAAGCGGAAUUCCACGUGUAGCGGUGAAAUGCGUAGAGAUGUGGAGGAACACCAGUGGCGAAGGCGGCUUUCUGGUCUGUAACUGACGCUGAGGCGCGAAAGCGUGGGGAGCAAACAGGAUUAGAUACCCUGGUAGUCCACGCCGUAAACGAUGAGUGCUAAGUGUUAGGGGGUUUCCGCCCCUUAGUGCUGCAGCUAACGCAUUAAGCACCCCGCCUGGGGAGUACGGCCGCAAGGCUA